This 506-nucleotide ribosomal RNA is filed under the name uncultured bacterium. Its description in RNAcentral is "partial 16S ribosomal RNA". It matches the Rfam family "Bacterial small subunit ribosomal RNA", at positions 29 to 523 of the family's 1533-position model. The record is from RNAcentral.
AGUGAACGCUGGCGGUAGGCCUAACACAUGCAAGUCGAACGGCAGCACAGAGGAGCUUGCUCCUUGGGUGGCGAGUGGCGGACGGGUGAGGAAUACAUCGGAAUCUACCCUGUCGUGGGGGAUAACGUAGGGAAACUUACGCUAAUACCGCAUACGACCUACGGGUGAAAGCAGGGGACCUUCGGGCCUUGCGCGAUUGAAUGAGCCGAUGUCGGAUUAGCUAGUUGGCGGGGUAAAGGCCCACCAAGGCGACGAUCCGUAGCUGGUCUGAGAGGAUGAUCAGCCACACUGGAACUGAGACACGGUCCAGACUCCUACGGGAGGCAGCAGUGGGGAAUAUUGGACAAUGGGCGCAAGCCUGAUCCAGCCAUACCGCGUGGGUGAAGAAGGCCUUCGGGUUGUAAAGCCCUUUUGCUGGGAAAGAAAUCCAGCUGGCUAAUACCCGGUUGGGAUGACGGUACCCAAAGAAUAAGCACCGGCUAACUUCGUGCCAGCAGCCGCCGUAA